UACAGAGGUGGCAAGCGUUGUUCGGAAUUACUGGGCGUAAAGGGCGCGUAGGCGGCCAUCUAAGUCAGACGUGAAAUCCCCCGGCUUAACCUGGGAACUGCGUCUGAUACUGGACGGCUGGAGUUUGGGAGAGGGAUGUAGAAUUCCAGGUGUAGCGGUGAAAUGCGUAGAGAUCGGGAGGAACACCGGCGGCGAAGGCGGCUGCCUGGACCAGUCCUGACGCUGAGGCGCGAAAGCUAGGGGAGCAAACAGG
RNAcentral lists this ribosomal RNA (253 nucleotides) under uncultured bacterium. Its description in RNAcentral is "partial 16S ribosomal RNA". It matches the Rfam family "Bacterial small subunit ribosomal RNA", at positions 524 to 776 of the family's 1533-position model. The record is from RNAcentral.